CCUGCUUUCAGUUGCUACCGGAUCAUGCCGAGCACUCUGAAAGGACUGCCCAGGAUAACGGGGAGGAAGGUGGGGAUGACGUCAAGUCAGCAUGGCCUUUAUGUCCAGGGCCACACACGUGCUACAAUGGACGGUACAAAGCGCUGCAAAC
This 151-nucleotide ribosomal RNA is filed under the name uncultured Nitrospira sp. RNAcentral describes it as "partial 16S ribosomal RNA". It matches the Rfam family "Bacterial small subunit ribosomal RNA", at positions 1104 to 1254 of the family's 1533-position model. The record is from RNAcentral. Lineage: Bacteria; Pseudomonadati; Nitrospirota; Nitrospiria; Nitrospirales; Nitrospiraceae.